GCCGGAUGUGGUGGUGCAUGCCUGUAAUCCCAGCUUCUUGGGAGGCUGAGGCAGGAGGAUUGCAAGUUUGAAGGCAGCCUCAGCAAUUUAGCAAGACCCUGUUUCAA
This 107-nucleotide small RNA is filed under the name Marmota monax (woodchuck). Lineage: Eukaryota; Metazoa; Chordata; Mammalia; Rodentia; Sciuridae. The record is from RNAcentral.